Molecule: long non-coding RNA, 252 nt
Filed under: Elaeis guineensis (African oil palm)
Lineage: Eukaryota; Viridiplantae; Streptophyta; Magnoliopsida; Arecales; Arecaceae
Description: long non-coding RNA (EGUI_LNC071339)
Source: RNAcentral
UGUGUGGAACUCAUGAUCAGAGAAUCCUGAUUCUCAAUCACAGAGUCCCAGACAUGUAGAACUCAGAGUCCUCGAGCAUUAAGACUCUUGGUCGAAGAGUCCCAGUCCAGUGGGACUCUUCACCAGCCAUCAGAUCAGAUAGGAAUCUCUAAUAUGUGUGAUCCCGUAGGUUCGAACUUAAGCCGAUAGCAUAGGAAUCAAUUCCUGUACUACUCAAAGUGACCAUCUAGUAAUGGUAUCUGACAUCCGGAU